GUAGGCGACUGAGUCACCUGCUUAAGAUAGUAGACUGCAUCAUUUGCAUAAAAGGGUAGGCGACUGAGUCACCUGCUUAAGAUAGUAGAUGACUGCAUCAUUUGCAUAAAAGGGUAGGCGACUGGGUCACCUGCUUAAGAUAGUAGACUGCAUCAUUUGCAUAAAAGGGGUAGGCGACUGAGUCACCUGCUUAAGAUAGUAGACUGCAUCAUUUGCAUAAAAGGGUAGGCGACUGAGUCACCUGCUUAAGAUAGUAGAUGACUGCAUCAUUUGCAUAAAAGGGUAGGCGACUGGGUCACCUGCUUAAGAUAGUAGACUGCAUCAUUUGCAUAAAAGGGUAGGCGACUGAGUCACCUGCUUAAGAUAGUAGACUGCAUCAUUUGCAUAAAAGGGUAGGCGACUGAGUCACCUGCUUAAGAUAGUAGUCAAAAUCAUUUGCAUAAAAGGGUAGGCGACUGAGUCACCUGCUUAAGAUAGUAGACUGCAUCAUUUGCAUAAAAGGGUAGGCGACUGAGUCACCUGCUUAAGAUAGUAGAUGACUGCAUCAUUUGCAUAAAAGGGUAGGCGACUGAGUCACCUGCUUAAGAUAGUAGAUGACUGCAUCAUUUGCAUAAAAGGGUAGGCGACUGAGUCACCUGCUUAAGAUAGUAGACUGCAUCAUUUGCAUAAAAGGGUAGGCGACUGAGUCACCUGCUUAAGAUAGUAGACUGCAUCAUUUGCAUAAAAGGGUAGGCGACUGAGUCACCUGCUUAAGAUAGUAGACUGCAUCAUUUGCAUAAAAGG
Cyprinodon tularosa is the source of this 783-nucleotide long non-coding RNA. RefSeq lists it as uncharacterized. The transcript is spliced from 3 exons. The record is from RefSeq and is a predicted model, not a curated record. NCBI's taxonomy places the organism in Eukaryota, Metazoa, Chordata, Actinopteri, Cyprinodontiformes, Cyprinodontidae.